Molecule: ribosomal RNA, 423 nt
Filed under: uncultured bacterium
Lineage: Bacteria
Description: bacterial SSU rRNA
Rfam family: Bacterial small subunit ribosomal RNA
Source: RNAcentral
GUAAGGAAUAUUGGUCAAUGGACGCAAGUCUGAACCAGCCAUGCCGCGUGGAGGAUUAAGGCCCUCUGGGUUGUAAACUCCUUUUAUCUGGGAAGAAAUGUACUUUUUCUUGAGUACUUGACGGUACCAGAGGAAUAAGCACCGGCUAACUCCGUACCAGCAGCCGCGGUAACACGGAGGGUGCAAGCGUUAUCCGGAUUCACUGGGUUUAAAGGGUGCGUAGGUGGGCAGGUAAGUCAGUGGUGAAAUCUCCGGGCUUAACCCGGAAACUGCCGUUGAUACUAUUUGUCUUGAAUUAUCUGGAGGUAAGCGGAAUAUGUCAUGUAGCGGUGAAAUGCUUAGAUAUGACAUAGAACACCAAUUGCGAAGGCAGCUUACUACAUAUAAAUUGACGCUGAGGCACGAAAGCGUGGGGAUCAAACA